Molecule: long non-coding RNA, 2943 nt
Organism: Neopsephotus bourkii (Bourke's parrot)
Lineage: Eukaryota; Metazoa; Chordata; Aves; Psittaciformes; Psittacidae
Exons: 3
Source: RefSeq, a predicted model, not a curated record
AACAGUGAUUAAAACCACUCAUUGUUAAAUUUGUUGAGGGACUUUAGAUUAAGGUGUUACUGCUUGUGAGUUGUUUCAGGACAUUGUAUGAAGAGCUUGAGCUAGCAGGUUUCAACAGGAAAAAAAACAGUGGCAUUAUGUUUGCAAAUAUGAUUAGUGCCUAUCUAAUUUAGGAUGGAGAGGAAGAAGUUGCUGCUGGUGAUGUUAGUCAUGACAACAUUUCACAUAAGAGUAAGACGGAAACAUAUUUCAGGGUAGCAUAAACAGCAACUAGAUACUAAGAAUCUUGUCCAUCUUAGGCUUUGAAACUUCAUCUCAAUCAAGGGGUAUAGCCACUGCCAUUUCUAGUGUGUGUUGUCUCUUCUGUUACCCAGCACUGCACUGUCACAGGCAGGUGCUGAUAAGAACUAACCCUUAUAUAGCAUUUUCUUUGUGAAGAUCAGAGUCCAUUUUUCUGUGGCUUAUUCUCUCUGUCUUAAAAGAAGACACAGAGAUGGUCCUACCUCAGCCUAAUCAAUAUCCUGCAGGUUUUUUUCUGCCACUUACCUUAGCUGUAGGAAAUUCAUCCAAAUUUGGACAGUUGCCUCUCCAAGUGUCUUGACCACCAUUAAAUUGUGGAGUAUCUUAUUCUAUUCUGCUGAAGAUUUUAUUUUGUCGUAGCUACCUUUCUCAGCAGUGAACAGGACAGACCAGUUCUUGGGUGAAUUGCUCUCGUGGUUUGAGGCAGAUGGAAAUUUUAUUCCUAGCUCUGCUGGUUCAUGUGUAUCCCAGACCAGGUAAGAAAGUGGCUAUUACCCCAGCCAAGCACAUGUUGCUUCUGUGGCUCAGUGAAGUUGUCCCAGGAGGAGUGUGCCACCCAGAGAGAUCACAUCAUUAAAAGCACAUGGCCUGAAGGUAUGAGUAUCUGGAAGGAUGGGGACCAGACUUUUAGUCCUUGCUUUGACCUGGCUGAAAGCUGGUGGUUAAGAGGUUCACUUCGCAUAUUUCUAGCAGACAUGUCCCUUUUACUGGGGCAGCAGAUGCUUGUUUGCUUGCUUGCUUUCUAAAGCUGAUCUGUGUAUCUGUGAGGAGAUUCACAGGGUACAUUUAAUACAUUAAUCCAGAGGUUAUCUCUCUAGCCUGUUAUGUGGAAAAAUGAAUGUGCUGGGGCACACUGUCUACUUUCAUAUUGGAAGCAUCAUUUUGGCUUUAUCUCAGAACUUGGGUGUUUACAGCAGACCAUUUCCCUAUUACAGCUGCUCUUGUUUUGGCUAACUUCUUAGCCCAGUAGUUUUGUUACUGACCUGACUUAAGAAAUGUGUUUAUAGUUGACAGGAUUCUGGCUAUUUGUGGACUCACUUCUUUCCCCCCUUCUUUCCUGCUUUGUAUUAGGUCCUUAUGCUGGAGAAGAGGCUUCCUGGCUUUUAGCCCCCUUGUGAAUGCAAGGGAACAAACUGCAGUUGCGUUACUGGAGAGGUUAGUGGGCAUUUCUUAGUCUCUGCAGUAUCCUUCAUUUUCUGCUGUCUUUCUUCAGCCUAAUUAGCCACCAUGUAGAUCAGUUGAAGCAGGAGGCCAUCAGGAAAUGGAAUGGUUGCUUCAAAGGCUUGUGCACUGUAGCAGUUCAAAAGGAGUGCAGACAACUGAUGCUCCAGAUUCUGUUGUCCUACAGCCUGGAGCAAGGAUUGGGUCCUUAAGGUCCCACAUUUGCUGCAAAUUGACCUAACCACUGAGCUAUCACUUGUACAACUAACUUACUGCCUUUUCUACUGGAUAAGACAAAGUGGAAACUACAACAGAAGAUAAUUCUCUAGAGCUGGUGAGUCCCUAUAAGCACAACUAGUGAAUCUGUCAUCACUUGCUGUGUAAAGAAGCCAAAGUUAGCCUGAAGCAUUGUUCUUUUAUGUAACAGAGGGGAAAUGGCUCUGGUCCAGGUGAUCCAGAAGCCUGAGGAGCCAGACCAUCCUGUGAUGUUGGCCUGAUUAGCUGUAAAUAAUCCGGGCUCAACUGCUCUGUUCUGUGUCUUUGCCCUUUGCUGGGUUUUCAGUGAGGGGAGGGGGAAAGUUUUCUAGCUACAAGGAUAGGAGAUCCUGUGUUUAUGAAUGGGACUACCUGUACUGUGAACUGGUUCUGGUGCAUGCAAGGGAUGAAGCAUGGAGAGAGAGUGGGUUUAUAAAUGCUUGUACAGAAGCAUCUGGAUAAUUAACUGUUAGGUAGGAGCACUUAAAUCCUUAAAGACAUUUUCUGUGGGAAAUACAGGCACGCAAGAGACAUGGUUUGAUGCUGACUUCUACCUAAAUUGCACAUCAGGAAUUGAGGUGUCAUUUUGAGUCUGACCUGGAAUAAUUUAUUCCGUAUCACAAGGAUUUAAACCUAGUCUUCCUGCCAGAGUAACACCAUCAUCACUAGGCCAUUUUUACCAGCUCAUCCGUCUCCACUGACAAGCUGGUGUGCUACAAUUGAGGGCCCAGGUCAAUUUGCUCUUUUGGUCCUGCAGGAACAAAUGCCAGUUAGCAGUGGGGGGCAGGAGCGAACACCAGCCUGAGUCACAGAGGGUAUUCCAGGAUAGCAUGGUCACUCUUUCAGGUGCUCUCAUGGGAGCAUCCUAAGCCUUGCAUAUUACCCUUUCCCACAGUUGCUGUAUGUGAAAGGUCUUUGAUCUAUGAAUGAGCCCGACACAUGGUGCUUGCUCACUGUAUGUUAACAGCAGAGAUGUUAUUUUUGGCUCCUGAAUUCUUUUUCUCCUUGACUAUCAGAGCUGAAAGACCUUUCGUCCUUAAGACAGGCAGCUGUUCACUACAUAGUGUGUUUGGGACGACGUGCUACAUAAUGCUGACACCUCUAUUGGGAACAAUUUUUUUUGCAAAAUGGAACAAGGGAGAGGAUUAUGCAGCUUCAUCCAGGUCAUGCUAUUUGGAAGAACUUAUGGAAGAAAGUCAAGAGCAGUAGUAAGAGCACAGAAUAAAA